GGAUGAACGCUGGCGGCGUGCCUAAUACAUGCAAGUCGAACGAUGUAGCAAUACAUAGUGGCGACCGGGUGAGUAACACGUAGCUGACCUGCCCCUCAGCGGGGGAUAACGUUUCGAAAGAGACGCUAAUACCGCAUGAUUUCGUCGGGACUAGAAGCCGACGAAUAAACUUCAGGGGUUGAGGGAGGGGGCUGCGGCCCAUCAGGUAGUUGGUGAGGUAAUGGCUCACCAAGCCAAUGACGGGUAGGGGGCCUGAGAGGGUGGUCCCCCACACUGGAACUGACACACGGUCCAGACUCCUACGGGAGGCAGCAGUAAGGGAUAUUGGUCAAUGGGCGAAAGCCUGAACCAGCAACGCCGCGUGCAGGAUGACGGCCUUCGGGUUGUAAACUGCUUUGGCUGGGGACGAGCAAGGACGGUACCCAGCGAACAAGUCACGGCUAACUACGUGCCAGCAGCCGCGGUAAAACGUAGGUGGCGAGCGUUAUCCGGAUUUACUGGGCGUAAAGCAUGUGCAGACGGGUUGGUAAGUGGUGUAUGAAAGCGUCCGGCUUAACCGGGCAAGCGUAUGCCAGACUGCCAGUCUUGAGAGUGGGAGAGGGACGUGGAAUUCCGGGUGUAGUGGUGAAAUGCGUAGAGAUCCGGAGGAACCCCAGAGGCGAAGGCGGCGUCCUGGCCCACAUCUGACGUUCAGACAUGACAGCAUGGGGAGCGAACGGGAUUAGAAACCCCGGGAGUCCAUGCCGUAAACGAAUCGACGAGGCGCGGGCGGGUAAUACCGCGCGGGCCGCAGCAACG
This 798-nucleotide ribosomal RNA is filed under the name uncultured bacterium. Its description in RNAcentral is "bacterial SSU rRNA". It matches the Rfam family "Bacterial small subunit ribosomal RNA", at positions 27 to 857 of the family's 1533-position model. The record is from RNAcentral.